Mizuhopecten yessoensis (Yesso scallop) is the source of this 501-nucleotide long non-coding RNA. RefSeq lists it as uncharacterized. The transcript has 4 exons. The record is from RefSeq and is a predicted model, not a curated record. Lineage: Eukaryota; Metazoa; Mollusca; Bivalvia; Pectinida; Pectinidae.
GUGCAAAGUAUUUCCUCGUCAUAUUGUGUAUAAAAGUGGUCAUACUUGGUCCUCCAUUACAACCUGUCUUGAUACAGACUGUAGAGGUGUAACAUUUAGCGGCUGACAAAAAAUCAAUCAACUUAAGAUGUUGAAGCUUAUCGUAAUGGCCUGUCUAGUGGCCUGUGUCUUGUGCCGAUCAUACGGAAGCAGGCGUGAUUCCUUGUUGUAUGACAAUAUCAGAACAGGCAGUUGGGGUUCAAGUUUGGAUAGUUGGGGAAACGAUCCUUGGAACAGUGAUAUCUAUGGGAGCGACUGGGACCGACGUGGAGGCGACAUGUGGGGAGACAGGCGGGCUGGUGACAGGAUAGUAAACAGAUGGAGAUCCGACAGGAGAUACUGAUGAAGAGACAUUAAAAGAUCCAUUUGGCCAAAGUUUGGAAAAUCCAUUUAUGUCCCAUAUUCAUUUGUAAAUUCAUAUUCCUCAUAUCGUUUUGCUAAUAAACAUUUUUUUUUCUUAUA